GAGGUUAAGCGACUAAGCGUACACGGUGGAUGCCUAGGCAGUCAGAGGCGAUGAAGGGCGUGCUAAUCUGCGAAAAGCGUCGGUAAGGUGAUAUGAACCGUUACAACCGACGAUACCCGAAUGGGGAAACCCAGUGCAAUUCGUUGCACUAUUGCAUGGUGAAUACAUAGCCAUGCAAGGCGAACCGGGGGAACUGAAACAUCUAAGUACCCGAGGAAAAGAAAUCAACCGAGAUUCCCCCAGUAGCGGCGAGCGAACGGGGAGGAGCCCAGAACCUGAAUCAGCGUAUGUGUUAGUGGAAGCGUCUGGAAAGUCGCACGGUACAGGGUGAUAGUCCCGUACACAAAAAUGCAUAUGUUGUGAGUUCGAUGAGUAGGGCGGGACACGUGACAUCCUGUCUGAAUAUGGGGGGACCAUCCUCCAAGGCUAAAUACUCCUGACUGACCGAUAGUGAACCAGUACCGUGAGGGAAAGGCGAAAAGAACCCCGGCGAGGGGAGUGAAAUAGAACCUGAAACCGUGUACGUACAAGCAGUGGGAGCACCUUCGUGGUGUGACUGCGUACCUUUUGUAUAAUGGGUCAGCGACUUAUAUUUUGUAGCAAGGUUAACCGAAUAGGGGAGCCGUAGGGAAACCGAGUCUUAACUGGGCGAAUAGUUGCAAGGUAUAGACCCGAAACCCGGUGAUCUAGCCAUGGGCAGGUUGAAGGUUGGGUAACACUAACUGGAGGACCGAACCGACUAAUGUUGAAAAAUUAGCGGAUGACUUGUGGCUGGGGGUGAAAGGCCAAUCAAACCGGGAGAUAGCUGGUUCUCCCCGAAAGCUAUUUAGGUAGCGCCUCGUGAACUCAUCUUCGGGGGUAGAGCACUGUUUCGGCUAGGGGGUCAUCCCGACUUACCAAACCGAUGCAAACUCCGAAUACCGAAGAAUGUUAUCACGGGAGACACACGGCGGGUGCUAACGUCCGUCGUGAAGAGGGAAACAACCCAGACCGCCAGCUAAGGUCCCAAAGUCAUGGUUAAGUGGGAAACGAUGUGGGAAGGCAUAGACAGCCAGGAUGUUGGCUUAGAAGCAGCCAUCAUUUAAAGAAAGCGUAAUAGCUCACUGGUCGAGUCGGCCUGCGCGGAAGAUGUAACGGGGCUAAACCAUGCACCGAAGCUGCGGCAGCGACACUUAGGUGUUGUUGGGUAGGGGAGCGUUCUGUAAGCCGUUGAAGGUGACCUGUGAGGGUUGCUGGAGGUAUCAGAAGUGCGAAUGCUGACAUAAGUAACGAUAAUGCGGGUGAAAAACCCGCACGCCGGAAGACCAAGGGUUCCUGUCCAACGUUAAUCGGGGCAGGGUGAGUCGACCCCUAAGGCGAGGCUGAAAAGCGUAGUCGAUGGGAAACAGGUUAAUAUUCCUGUACUUGGUGUUACUGCGAAGGGGGGACGGAGAAGGCUAGGCUAGCCGGGCGACGGUUGUCCCGGUUUAAGCAUGUAGGCGGAGCGACUUGGUAAAUCCGGUUGCUUAUCAACGCUGAGGUGUGAUGACGAGCCACUACGGUGGUGAAGUAGUUGAUGCCAAGCUUCCAGGAAAAGCCUCUAAGCAUCAGGUAACAUUAAAUCGUACCCCAAACCGACACAGGUGGUCAGGUAGAGAAUACUCAGGCGCUUGAGAGAACUCGGGUGAAGGAACUAGGCAAAAUGGUGCCGUAACUUCGGGAGAAGGCACGCUGGCAUUAGGUAAAGGGACUUGCUCCCGGCGCCGAAGCCAGUCGCAGAUACCAGCUGGCUGCAACUGUUUAAUAAAAACACAGCACUGUGCAAACACGAAAGUGGACGUAUACGGUGUGACGCCUGCCCGGUGCUGGAAGGUUAAUUGAUGGGGUCAGCCGCAAGGCGAAGCUCUUGAUCGAAGCCCCAGUAAACGGCGGCCGUAACUAUAACGGUCCUAAGGUAGCGAAAUUCCUUGUCGGGUAAGUUCCGACCUGCACGAAUGGCGUAAUGAUGGCCAGGCUGUCUCCACCCGAGACUCAGUGAAAUUGAACUCGCUGUGAAGAUGCAGUGUACCCGCGGCAAGACGGAAAGACCCCGUGAACCUUUACUAUAGCUUGACACUGAACAUUGAGCCUUGAUGUGUAGGAUAGGUGGGAGGCAUUGAAGUGUGGACGCCAGUCUGCAUGGAGCCAACCUUGAAAUACCACCCUUUAAUGUUUGAUGUUCUAACUCGGCCCCGUGAUCCGGGGUGAGGACAGUGUCUGGUGGGUAGUUUGACUGGGGCGGUCUCCUCCCAAAGAGUAACGGAGGAGCACGAAGGUUAGCUAAUCACGGUCGGACAUCGUGAGGUUAGUGCAAAGGCAUAAGCUAGCUUGACUGCGAGAGUGACGGCUCGAGCAGGUACGAAAGUAGGUCUUAGUGAUCCGGUGGUUCUGAAUGGAAGGGCCAUCGCUCAACGGAUAAAAGGUACUCCGGGGAUAACAGGCUGAUACCGCCCAAGAGUUCAUAUCGACGGCGGUGUUUGGCACCUCGAUGUCGGCUCAUCACAUCCUGGGGCUGAAGUAGGUCCCAAGGGUAUGGCUGUUCGCCAUUUAAAGUGGUACGCGAGCUGGGUUUAGAACGUCGUGAGACAGUUCGGUCCCUAUCUGCCGUGGGCGUUGGAAGAUUGAGAGGGGCUGCUCCUAGUACGAGAGGACCGGAGUGGACGAAUCACUGGUGUUCGGGUUGUCAUGCCAAUGGCAUUGCCCGGUAGCUAAAUUCGGAAGAGAUAACCGCUGAAAGCAUCUAAGCGGGAAACUUGCCUCGAGAUGAGUCUUCCCUGGGGCUUUAAGCUCCCUGAAGGAACGUUAAAGACUAUGACGUUGAUAGGCUGGGUGUGUAAGUGCAGCGAUGCAUUGAGCUAACCAGUACUAAUGAUCCGUGAGGCUUAACCUUAC
This 2910-nucleotide ribosomal RNA is filed under the name Yersinia enterocolitica. Its description in RNAcentral is "23S ribosomal RNA". It matches the Rfam family "Bacterial large subunit ribosomal RNA". Lineage: Bacteria; Pseudomonadati; Pseudomonadota; Gammaproteobacteria; Enterobacterales; Yersiniaceae. The record is from RNAcentral.